This 64-nucleotide transfer RNA is filed under the name Cucujoidea sp. 39 KM-2017. RNAcentral describes it as "tRNA-Arg". The record is from RNAcentral. Lineage: Eukaryota; Metazoa; Arthropoda; Insecta; Coleoptera.
AAAUAAGAAGUAAUUAAAUACAUUUAGUUUCGACCUAAAAGCUUGGCCCGCCCGCCCUUAUUUA